Long non-coding RNA from Bos taurus (domestic cattle), 741 nucleotides. The record is from Ensembl. Lineage: Eukaryota; Metazoa; Chordata; Mammalia; Artiodactyla; Bovidae.
AUACAGUUUUCUUUUAUUUGGAGGCUGGCACAGCUGUUCACUUGGAGAAGUGUCCCUCUCCACUCCAAUGAGCUGGUCUUGGAGCUACUUUACAAUAACAGCCUCUCCAGGUGGGGAACCCCCUGAUUGGGCUGGAGGUGGAGGAAACUGGCUUUUUAAGUGCCCACCCACAGCUCGGGAAGGGGCUGCACAGGAACACUUCACACCAAGCUGCUCAAAGUUCACCUGAGUGACAGAUUCUUUAGCAACAAUGUUCCUGAGAGGCUGGUGCCCUCUGAGAUAGAGUCUGCAAGACACCAGCUCCUGGUGAAUGCCGAGGCGGUGGCCCCGUUCCUGAUGCCCACAUGGUGCCCUGUGCCUGUUCUUCCUUCAGCAGGGACUAGGCACCUAGUGGGUUACCAGUGUAAACAGUACACCUGCCCUCACGCAAGCAACAGGAUGCUGCGAGAACGCCACCUGCAGUGGAACAGAGCUUGGGAGCUGGGAUGGGGAAGAGGUUCUAGGAGGCAGAGACUGGAGACCGGCAGGGCCGGUGACAUCUGUGUGGUCCUCAGAGCCAGAUCCCAUCACAGCUCAAUCACUCCCACCUCAAUCACUCCUUUCCUCACUCAUUCACCGUGGCUGAAAUGCCCUCUAUCUUCCAGUCGCUGCUUGCCUCUUGCUUUGCCAAGAAUACCACCCACACGAUUCUAUGGAAGGCUCAGAAGAUGAGAAAAGAAUAUUGUAAAAGCACCUGUUGAU